CCUGCCAACCUAUAGGAGGUCCAGCCUGCCCGGUGACCUAGUUUAACGGCCGCGGUAUCCUAACCGUGCGAAGGUAGCGUAAUCACCUGUUUUUUAAUUGAAGACCUGUAUGAAAGGCAUCACGAGAAUCGUACUGUCUCCUUUUUCCAAUCAGUGAAACUAAUCUCCCCGUGAAAAAGCGGGGAUAUAAAUACAAGACGAGAAGACCCUCUGGAGCUUAAGAUAAAGUAACGUUUUGUACUCUCUUAUCCCACCUAUUUCUUUAGACACUUACAUUACAAAUCUUCGGUUGGGGCAACCGCGGAGUAAAACUCACCCUCCAAGCUGAAUGGAAUUUUCCUAAACAAAAAGACACAGCUUAAUGUAUCAAUAAAUUGACAUCAUGACCCAAUAUUUUGAUUAUCGAACCAAGUUACCCUAGGGAUAACAGCGCAAUCCACUUCAAGAGUUCAUAUCGACAAGUGGGCUUACGACCUCGAUGUUGGAUCAAGGUAUCCCAGUGGUGCAGCCGCUACUAAUGGUUCGUUUGUUCAACG
RNAcentral lists this ribosomal RNA (536 nucleotides) under Eleutherodactylus glamyrus. RNAcentral describes it as "partial 16S ribosomal RNA". It matches the Rfam family "Bacterial large subunit ribosomal RNA", at positions 1834 to 2586 of the family's 2925-position model. Lineage: Eukaryota; Metazoa; Chordata; Amphibia; Anura; Eleutherodactylidae. The record is from RNAcentral.